This 71-nucleotide transfer RNA is filed under the name Candidatus Saccharimonadota bacterium. RNAcentral's name for it is "Candidatus Saccharibacteria bacterium tRNA-Val". It matches the Rfam family "tRNA". Rfam says of the family: Transfer RNA (tRNA) molecules are approximately 80 nucleotides in length. Lineage: Bacteria; Candidatus Saccharimonadota. The record is from RNAcentral.
GGGAGUGUAGCUCAAUGUAGAGCGCCUAGUUUACAGACUAGGAGAUGCAGGUCCGAAUCCUGCCACUCCCA